GUUCUGUUAAAUUGUUCCUUUUAAAAUUGUUAAACGAUGAUGACUGAUGUACCCAUAUUUUGACUAUUUUAUUUAUUGUGUCUGUUUAUUUAAGCAUCAAUGUAAAAAUAUCGGAAAUUGAUGAGACUGUCAUUAAAGUGAGAAGGUUAGCGCUAUAGAACCAGGUUUAAUCCACCAUUUUCUACAUUUGAAAAUGCCUGUACCAAGUCAGGAAUAUGACAGUUCUUG
This 228-nucleotide long non-coding RNA is filed under the name Mytilus galloprovincialis (Mediterranean mussel). Lineage: Eukaryota; Metazoa; Mollusca; Bivalvia; Mytilida; Mytilidae. The record is from RNAcentral.